Molecule: ribosomal RNA, 497 nt
Filed under: uncultured bacterium
Lineage: Bacteria
Description: partial 16S ribosomal RNA
Rfam family: Bacterial small subunit ribosomal RNA
Source: RNAcentral
GAUGAACGCUGGCGGCGUGCCUAAUACAUGCAAGUCGAGCGAACAGACGAGGAGCUUGCUCCUCUGACGUUAGCGGCGGACGGGUGAGUAACACGUGGAUAACCUACCUAUAUGACUGGGAUAACUUCGGGAAACCGGAGCUAAUACCGGAUAAUAUAUUGAACCGCAUGGUUCAAUAGUGAAAGACGGUUUUGCUGUCACUUAUAGAUGGAUCCGCGCCGCAUUAGCUAGUUGGUAAGGUAACGGCUUACCAAGGCAACGAUGCGUAGCCGACCUGAGAGGGUGAUCGGCCACACUGGAACUGAGACACGGUCCAGACUCCUACGGGAGGGAGCAGCAGGGAAUCUUCCGCAAUGGGCGAAAGACUGACGGAGCAACGCGGCGUGAGUGAUGAAGGUCUUCGGAUCGUAAAACUCUGUUAUUAGGGAAGAACAAAUGUGUAAGUACAUAUGCACGUCUUGACGGUACCUAAUCAGAAAGCCACGGCUAACUACGUG